This 326-nucleotide ribosomal RNA is filed under the name uncultured eukaryote. RNAcentral describes it as "partial 18S ribosomal RNA". It matches the Rfam family "Eukaryotic small subunit ribosomal RNA", at positions 1470 to 1796 of the family's 1831-position model. The record is from RNAcentral.
CCCUUAGAUGUUCUGGGCCGCACGCGCGCUACACUGACGAUGGCAACGAGUUUUUCCUUCGCCGAAAGGUGUGGGUAAUCUUUUGAAACAUCGUCGUGCUGGGGAUAGAUCAUUGCAAUUUUUGAUCUUGAACGAGGAAUUCCUAGUAAGCGCGAGUCAUCAGCUCGCGUUGAUUACGUCCCUGCCCUUUGUACACACCGCCCGUCGCUCCUACCGAUUGAGUGUUCCGGUGAGGCUUCGGGAGAACUGGGUGGAUUGUGUUUCACAAACUGCUCGGUUUGAACUUAGUCAAACCUUAUCACUUAGAGGAAGGAGGAGUCGUAACA